AGAUUGCCUUUGCGGCUUAAUUUCCCAGAGAAGUUGAGGAGGUAAUUUUGACACGGCUUCCUUACUAUCGAUAUAUUUUUUUAAUUACUUACUAACUUUUGAGAUGAACUUUGUGCAUAGUUUCUGGGUUUAAACCACUUUUGUUAGCUUGGCUUGUGUCUUGUUUGCGUCGAAUGUAAUCAUGACUCGAGAGAAAAUAGCAUUCAUCUAUUGUUAAUGAUGCGUUGAUUCUUGCAUAACUCUUUGAGUAUCUCUUUCUUGAUGUUGAGAAUAGUAACAUUUUAUCUGCGUUUGAUUUAGUAUAUUUCUACAGCAUUCAAUUUACACAUUAGUGGUCUCGGCAAAUCAUUAUUUUCCCUCUAACUUUCCGAAGCAAGGGCUGUGACUCGAAACCAAGACGAAAUUUCACCUAGUGGUCUCGGCACGUGAUUUGGUUCAUACAUAAACAAAUAUGAUGCAUAAAACUGAGAGAAAGGCAUGAUGCAGUGAUAAGAAAGAGUCAUGAGGUUUUUCCUAUGAUUCAUGGUUGUGUUGAAAUAUGAAAGAUAUAUACUAUGGGGUUUUGCAUGUAUAUAUAUAUAUAGUAAUGACAUUCCUUUUACGUGUUUACUUUGAUUUACUUGUGUGAUGAUAUAUAUCAGAGCUGCAGAGUAAAAUAGUAGCUUUUCAAAAAUAAGAAAUAUGUA
RNAcentral lists this long non-coding RNA (686 nucleotides) under Medicago truncatula (barrel medic). Its description in RNAcentral is "long non-coding RNA (MTRU_LNC005950)". The record is from RNAcentral. Lineage: Eukaryota; Viridiplantae; Streptophyta; Magnoliopsida; Fabales; Fabaceae.